ACAAGCGGUGGAGCAUGUGGUUUAAUUCGACGCAACGCGAAGAACCUUACCAGGGCUUGACAUCUACAGAAUCCUGAGGAAACUCAGGAGUGCCCUUCGGGGAACUGUAAGACAGGUGGUGCAUGGUUGUCGUCAGCUCGUGUCGUGAGAUGUUGGGUUAAGUCCCGCAACGAGCGCAACCCCUAUGUUUAGUUGCUAGCGAGUAAAGUCGAGCACUCUAGACAGACUGCCGGUGAUAAACCGGAGGAAGGUGGGGAUGACGUCAAAUCAUCAUGCCCCUUAUGUUCUGGGCUACACACGUGCUACAAUGGCCGGUACAAACGGAAGCGAAGCCGCGAGGUGAAGCAAAUCUGAUAAAACCGGUCUCAGUUCGGAUUGCAGGCUGCAACUCGCCUGCAUGAAGUCGGAAUCGCUAGUAAUCGCAGGUCAGCAUACUGCGGUGAAUACGUUCCCGGGCCUU
RNAcentral lists this ribosomal RNA (460 nucleotides) under uncultured Desulfosporosinus sp. Its description in RNAcentral is "bacterial SSU rRNA". It matches the Rfam family "Bacterial small subunit ribosomal RNA", at positions 925 to 1382 of the family's 1533-position model. Lineage: Bacteria; Bacillati; Bacillota; Clostridia; Eubacteriales; Desulfitobacteriaceae. The record is from RNAcentral.